GAUGAACGCUGGCGGCGUGCCUAAUACAUGCAAGUCGAGCGAACAGACGAGGAGCUUGCUCCUCUGACGUUAGCGGCGGACGGGUGAGUAACACGUGGAUAACCUACCUAUAAGACUGGGAUAACUUCGGGAAACCGGAGCUAAUACCGGAUAACAUGUUGAACCGCAUGGUUCAACAGUGAAAGACGGUCUUGCUGUCGCUUAUAGAUGGAUCCGCGCCGCAUUAGCUAGUUGGUAAGGUAACGGCUUACCAAGGCAACGAUGCGUAGCCGACCUGAGAGGGUGAUCGGCCACACUGGAACUGAGACACGGUCCAGACUCCUACGGGAGGCAGUAGUAGGGAAUCUUCCGCAAUGGGCGAAAGCCUGACGGAGCAACGCCGCGUGAGUGAAGAAGGUCUUCGGAUCGUAAAACUCUGUUAUUAGGGAAGAACAAAUGUGUAAGUAACUAUGCACGUCUUGACGGUACCUAAUCAGAAAGCCACGGCUAACUACGUG
RNAcentral lists this ribosomal RNA (497 nucleotides) under uncultured bacterium. RNAcentral's name for it is "partial 16S ribosomal RNA". It matches the Rfam family "Bacterial small subunit ribosomal RNA", at positions 28 to 507 of the family's 1533-position model. The record is from RNAcentral.